Molecule: ribosomal RNA, 905 nt
Filed under: uncultured bacterium
Lineage: Bacteria
Description: bacterial SSU rRNA
Rfam family: Bacterial small subunit ribosomal RNA
Source: RNAcentral
UCGACGGUAACAGGCCGCAAGGUGCUGACGAGUGGCGAACGGGUGAGUAAUGCAUCGGAACGUGCCCAGUCGUGGGGGAUAACGCAGCGAAAGCUGUGCUAAUACCGCAUACGAUCUAUGGAUGAAAGCGGGGGACCGUAAGGCCUCGCGCGAUUGGAGCGGCCGAUGUCAGAUUAGGUAGUUGGUGGGGUAAAGGCCCACCAAGCCAACGAUCUGUAGCUGGUCUGAGAGGACGACCAGCCACACUGGGACUGAGACACGGCCCAGACUCCUACGGGAGGCAGCAGUGGGGAAUUUUGGACAAUGGGCGCAAGCCUGAUCCAGCAAUGCCGCGUGCAGGAAGAAGGCCUUCGGGUUGUAAGCUGCUUUUGUACGGAACGAAACGGUCUGGGUUAAUACCCUGGGCUAAUGACGGUACCGUAAGAAUAAGCACCGGCUAACUACGUGCCAGCAGCCGCGGUAAUACGUAGGGUGCAAGCGUUAAUCGGAAUUACUGGGCGUAAAGCGUGCGCAGGCGGUUUUGUAAGACAGUCGUGAAAUCCCCGGGCUCAACCUGGGAAUGGCGAUUGUGACUGCAAAGCUGGAGUGCGGCAGAGGGGGAUGGAAUUCCGCGUGUAGCAGUGAAAUGCGUAGAUAUGCGGAGGAACACCGAUGGCGAAGGCAAUCCCCUGGGCCUGCACUGACGCUCAUGCACGAAAGCGUGGGGAGCAAACAGGAUUAGAUACUCUGAUAGUCCACGCCCUAAACGAUGUCAACUGGUUGUUGGGUCUCUUCUGACUCAGUAACGAAGCUAACGCGUGAAGUUGACCGCCUGGGAGUACGCGCAAGUUGAAACUCAAAGAUUGACGGGACCCGCACAGCGGUGAUGAUGUGGUUUAAUUCCAUGCACGCCGAAAACCUUACCA